Molecule: unclassified non-coding RNA, 375 nt
Filed under: uncultured Actinomycetes bacterium
Lineage: Bacteria; Bacillati; Actinomycetota; Actinomycetes
Description: uncultured actinobacterium contains 16S-23S intergenic spacer region
Source: RNAcentral
UCCUCCUUACAGAGGCAGUUUGUUCCGAGUUCCCGACAUUACUCGCUGGCAACAGAACAUGAGGGUUGCGCUCGUUGCGGGACUUAACCCAACAUCUCACGACACGAGCUGGCGACAGCCAUGCACCACCUGUGUAGGGCCCAAAAGGACACCGUAUCUCUACGGCUUUUCCCUACAUGUCAAGCCCAGGUAAGGUUCUUCGCGUUGCCUCGAAUUAAGCAACAUGCUCCGCUGCUUGUGCGGGCCCCCGUCAAUUCCUUUGGGUUUUAGCCUUGCGGCCGUACUCCCCAGGCGGGGCACUUAAUGCGUUAGCUGCGGCACCGAAGGGGUCGUUCCCCCCAGCACCUAGUGCCCAUCGUUUACGGCGUGGACUAC